AAAAAAUUAGUUAAAAUAUAAUAUUAAAAUGUCAUUUUAAAGUUAUUAAAAAUGUUAAUAUUUUUUA
RNAcentral lists this transfer RNA (67 nucleotides) under Primeuchroeus sp. M48. RNAcentral's name for it is "tRNA-Asp". The record is from RNAcentral. Lineage: Eukaryota; Metazoa; Arthropoda; Insecta; Hymenoptera; Chrysididae.